GGGAGGGACUACCGAGUCAUCCAAGUCGAGCGGAACGAUCCCAGCUUGCUGGUAGGCGUCGAGCGGCGGACGGGUGAAUAAUGCAUAGGAAUCUGCCCGAUAGUGGGGGAUAACCUGAGGAAACUCAGGCUAAUACCGCAUACGUCCUACGGGAGAAAGCAGGGGCUCUUCGGACCUUGCGCUAUCGGAUGAGCUUAUGUCGGAUUAGCUGGUUGGUGAGGUAAUGGCUCACCAAGGCGACGAUCCGUAGCUGGUCUGAGAGGAUGAUCAGCCACAUCGGGACUGAGACACGGCCCGAACUCCUACGGGAGGCAGCAGUGGGGAAUAUUGGACAAUGGGGGCAACCCUGAUCCAGCCAUGCCGCGUGUGUGAAGAAGGCCCUCGGGUUGUAAAGCACUUUCAGUGAGGAAGAAAGCUUGUCGGUUAAUACCCGGCAAGGACGACAUCACUCACAGAAGAAGCACCGGCUAACUCCGUGCCAGCAGCCGCGGUAAUACGGAGGGUGCGAGCGUUAAUCGGAAUUACUGGGCGUAAAGCGUGCGUAGGCGGCUUGAUAAGCCGGUUGUGAAAGCCCCGGGCUCAACCUGGGAACGGCAUCCGGAACUGUC
RNAcentral lists this ribosomal RNA (608 nucleotides) under Halomonas caseinilytica. RNAcentral's name for it is "bacterial SSU rRNA". It matches the Rfam family "Bacterial small subunit ribosomal RNA", at positions 40 to 637 of the family's 1533-position model. Lineage: Bacteria; Pseudomonadati; Pseudomonadota; Gammaproteobacteria; Oceanospirillales; Halomonadaceae. The record is from RNAcentral.